Molecule: long non-coding RNA, 489 nt
Filed under: Homo sapiens (human)
Lineage: Eukaryota; Metazoa; Chordata; Mammalia; Primates; Hominidae
Description: HSALNT0386537
Source: RNAcentral
GAACCAGAAGGAUGUGGCCAAAUAACCAUGUGUUAAGGAGAUCAGUCAGCCAUCCGAACAGAGGCCAGGAGCUGUUGUACAAGACAAUGAAAGAAUGACCCCAAAGAUACACAGAUGAAGAUGACAUCUAUGGAAUCUUUUCCUUGCAAUUGAUGCAUUCUUUAGUCCAGUAAUAUCAUCUCACUUUGUAUCCAAGAGAUCCUCUCUGUUCAUGUAGAAUUCAGCCAAACACUACAAUGGAUGUGGAAUAAAUGAGCAACAAAUAUUGAAUUAAUAAAUAAACAUCGCACUUUCUGAUGAGGCUGGAGGCUCUCACUUGAUAGCAGAGGAUAAAGAGAAGAAGAAAAGCAGGAACUACUUUCGGCUGGUAAGCAGAUCUUACAGUACAGUAGUUAAGCAUAUAAUGUUUGGAGCCUGACUGAUAUAGGCACAAAUCUCAAGUCCACAACUAUGUGAACGUUGGUAAGUUGCUAAACAUUGUUAAGCCAU